Long non-coding RNA from Bombyx mori (domestic silkworm), 566 nucleotides. RefSeq lists it as uncharacterized. The record is from RefSeq and is a predicted model, not a curated record. NCBI's taxonomy places the organism in Eukaryota, Metazoa, Arthropoda, Insecta, Lepidoptera, Bombycidae. The transcript is spliced from 2 exons.
AAGAUUUACCUAGUUCCAAAAUAGAAUCGGAAACAGAAACCUAGAAAACUAUAUUAAACCUUUUUAUGAAGCUGUCAAACUAAUUUCACGAUAUUAACAACUUCAAUUGACAUUUGUGGUCCGUUAGUAUUUUAUUAGGUGUCUUUGGUUUAUGUAUAAGCUAUUGAAAAAUACCUUUUUUUUGUUUUUGAAAUAAAUAUCUGUUCUGCGUAUUUCAUAAACAAUGGUUAAUUGUUUACGCAUUCACAUACAGUGAAUCGUCUGAGACGGACGUGGUUACAUAUAGAUAGUGUUCGGUAAAACAGUGUGGUAGAAUAAAAUGAAAAUGCCUCUAGUGCAGCAUCAAGCCGAUUUGUCUGGCGUAGACAUAGCAGAAACUACUCAAAACCCGCCGCCAUACAAUAACCAGAUGUAAACAGAUUUAUAUCAUGUCGUUCCCACUGUACCGACUCAACAGUUCAUCACAGUUCAAGCGCCGCAAAUGGGCCCUAAGCCUGCACGCUAUACCUGCCCAAGCUGCAAAGCGUCCAUCACGACCAGAGUAGAAUAUGUAUCGGCGACGAAAA